ACGCUACAGAUGAGGAGGCUUCGGAGAACUGAAUGUGAAAAAUAUAUGAGCAUGAUCCUUGUUGUUUAGGAUACUUGAUUUUGCCCAUUGGACCAGCCCAUCAUUUCUUCAUUGUCAGUCUGGAAACAUCUCUUGCAGGCUCAUAUUCCAUGGAGCACUGCAAGAGCGUCUGGCAGCUAAAGAGGGAAAAGAUGGAUCUUCAAGCCUCUGGAAAGAUGAAGGCAACGCCAUAAAGCAGGGAGAACAGAAAUCAGGACAUAUGCUUUCUCCUGAAAUCCACAGAGCCCUACAAAUCUCGAAGAACCAUGUGCAAGGAGAGAAGAUGAGCAGCCACAAGAGCAGAGAAGAAGCAGCACCUGCUCUGACCCAACCCAAGCACCACAAACAUGGCCCUAGUGCUGACCUCCUGCUCCGGGCCUGCCUGUAUGGCUGUGGGCUGGCCCUGGUGCUCAGCAAACCACUCACUACAUCCUCCUCUCAUGCUCGAGCUCCCUCCUUCAUGCAUCCAAGGUCCUCUCCCAAUGGCAGCAUUGAAGCAGCAGAGAAGUCGUGCUUUUCUCAGAGGACUUAUGGCACAAAGACAGUACCUAAGGGUACCUGUAUAUGCCUGCCCUUGGCAGUAUGAGCUGACAGAAGGUGGCACAGCAGAGCUGGUAUUUACUCAUAGUGUGCCUGCCAUGGAAAGUCAACUUGACCAAACAAUCAAUUUAAGAACUCCAGCUUGCCUUUGGGAACUACAAAAAUGUUGGACGCGGCAUUUACCUCACCAUCAGGACUCAUCUAUCUCUUGUCUCCUGCGCUUCAGAUACCUAAACCUCAUUCCAACCAGAAACAUUCCUGCAAUUGGAAUCUUCCCAUCUAAUGUCUGUCUGCAUGAUUUCAACACAGUUCUACAGAGAAACUUCCACAAGUAGUAGAGGCUCUCUCCCUGAAGAUAUUCAAAAGUCUGGUGAACCAGCUCUAGGUGGCUCUGCCUGAACAAGGGGGGCUGGACCAGAUGACUUUCAGAGGUCUGUUCCUACCUCAGCCCUCCCGUGAUUCUGUGAAGUUUUGUUCACAGCACAAGUACUCUUCCAAGAGUAAAACCUAUGUGCUGUAGAAA
Molecule: long non-coding RNA, 1102 nt
Organism: Neopelma chrysocephalum (saffron-crested tyrant-manakin)
Lineage: Eukaryota; Metazoa; Chordata; Aves; Passeriformes; Pipridae
Exons: 2
Source: RefSeq, a predicted model, not a curated record